UCCCUUUCCUUCCUUUCUUUUUGGUUUAGAGAAGCCCUUUCAAUAUUUCCUUUAACCUGGGUUUUGUGUUGCUGUAUUCUUUAAGUUUUUGUUUGUUGGGAAAAAUUUUUAUUUCCCCUUCUAUUUUAAAUGAUAUUCUUGCUGGAUAGAGUAUUCUAGGUUGCAUAUUUUUUCCUUUGAGCACUUUAAAUAUCUCUUGCCAUUCCCUCCUGGCCUGUAGUGUUUCUGUAGAGAAAUCAGCUGAUAUUCUUAUGGGGGUUCCCUUGUAGGUAACAUUCUGUUUUUCUCUUGCUGCCUUUAGGAUCCUCUCUUUAUCACUAACUUUUGCCAUUUUUAUUAUGAUGUGUCUUGGUGUGGGUCUGUUUGGGUUCAGUUUGUUUGGGGCCCUCUGUGCUUCUUGUAUCUUGAAUCCAGUAUCCUUUAGAUUUGGGAAGUUUCCAGCGAUAAUUUCUUCAAAUAUAUUUUCCAUUCCCUUAUCUUUUUCUACUCCUUCUGGAAUUCCUAUUAUGCGUAGAUUGGCCCGCUUUAUAUUAUCCCAUAGGUCUCUUAUAUUGCUUUCCAGUUUUUUGAUUCGGUUUUCUGUCUGUUGACCAGAUUGAGUGAUUUCCAUUAUUCUAUCUUCCAUAUCACUGAUUCGUUCUUCUGCAUUAUUCAUUCUGGUUUUUACUGCCCCUAGUUCAGUUUGCAUCUCUGCAAAUGAAUGUUCUAGUUUUUCUUGGCUCCUCCUUAUAUUUUCUAGUUCCUUUCUGAGGGUAUCUGCAUUACUGUUCAUAUCUUCUCUUAAUUCCUUCAGUAUUUUCACUAUUUCUCUUUUGAACUCCAGGUCUGUCAGACUGCAGAGAUCUGUUUCAUUGUUGACUGUUUUAGGUGAGUUCUCCUGUUGGUUUGACUGGGGGUGGUUUCUCAGCUUCUUCAUCUUGCUUGUUGUUUUCUUUCUCCUGAGGGAGUUGUACUCUCCGUUAUCGGGCAGUGUUUGCCUUGUCACUGCCGUGGAAUAUUUCCUGAGGGCUGGCGUUGUUGGUCAAUCUUUUUUGAGGCAGUGUGGCUUUUCUGGAGUGUUGAUGGGGCUAACAGUGUUUCUUUGAAGCAAAGGAGGACUUCCUGAGGGCAGACAGGACUGGGAGGUCCACACCACGAUGGUAGCAGAUUUCACUUGGUCAUGCAGAGCUUGCUCUGGUGUUUUUAGGCUGUGGGGUUCUUGCAGGGGGUUGGCGGUGUUGGGCAGCUGCUCCUCAGGAGUGCAGCACCCCCUGGGGGCUGGAGCAGCUAUCUGGGUCACUGAGAACCUAAGAGGCUCUUCCCUAGGGCAGCCCAACUCAGAAGGACAGCCUGAGAAUGUAGGCCGAUCUAUUCACAGCCUGGCUAAGCUUGUUCUAGCUUUUCUGGGCUGCAGGCCUUUUCUCGGGGGCUGGUGGUGUUUGGUGCUGCUCUGCGGAAGUGUAGCCCCUCCAAAGGGCAAGCAGGCCUGUGCAGGGACAGCCCCUGCGGUGGUAGGCUUCAGGCAAUUGUUGAGGCCAGCCCUCCUGGAUGGCAGGCAGCCCCAGGUCCG
Molecule: long non-coding RNA, 1549 nt
Filed under: Sus scrofa (pig)
Lineage: Eukaryota; Metazoa; Chordata; Mammalia; Artiodactyla; Suidae
Description: lncRNA (ENSSSCG00050043917.1)
Source: RNAcentral